Long non-coding RNA from Gekko japonicus, 413 nucleotides. RefSeq lists it as uncharacterized. The transcript has 3 exons. NCBI's taxonomy places the organism in Eukaryota, Metazoa, Chordata, Lepidosauria, Squamata, Gekkonidae. The record is from RefSeq and is a predicted model, not a curated record.
AUCUUAGCCAAAGAGAGGUCUUUCUCCAGUGCCAUGAAAGUUUUCUACAGCCAAUCUGUCUUUCUUCUAUUCACAACAUGGGCCUUGUACUUGGUGCCAGUCAUUGGGAACAGAUUUUUCUAUUUUGGACCUUGUGUUUUUUCAGUGAACAUUAAUGAAAUUCGAGAUGGCUUUGCAACAAUUAAAGCCUUCAUUCAAGCCAGAGAUCCCAUCAGGACAACAAGCAUUCUUUCCAACCCACCUUCUUUGCAUGAUUUUCAAUCUUUAGAUAGAUGUUGCCUCAUCCAUCUCAUCUUCAAGUUCUACAUGGACAAAGUGUUCAGGCAAUGUGAGACAGAAAACCUCCACGUUAAUCGGAAAAUUAGUGGCAUAGCAAACUCCUUCCUCAGCACAGAAAAGCAACUCAGACAAUG